AUUGAACGCUGGCGGCAGGCCUAACACAUGCGAGUCGAGCGGAUGAAGGGAGCUUGCUCCUGGAUUCAGCGGCGGACGGGUGAGUAAUGCCUAGGAAUCUGCCUGGUAGUGGGGGAUAACGUCCGGAAACGGGCGCUAAUACCGCAUACGUCCUGAGGGAGAAAGUGGGGGAUCUUCGGACCUCACGCUAUCAGAUGAGCCUAGGUCGGAUUAGCUAGUUGGUGGGGUAAAGGCCUACCAAGGCGACGAUCCGUAACUGGUCUGAGAGGAUGAUCAGUCACACUGGAACUGAGACACGGUCCAGACCCCUACGGGAGGCAGCAGUGGGGAAUAUUGGACAAUGGGCGAAAGCCUGAUCCAGCCAUGCCGCGUGUGUGAAGAAGGUCUUCGGAUUGUAAAGCACUUUAAGUUGGGAGGAAGGGCAGUAAGUUAAUACCUUGCUGUUUUGACGUUACCAACAGAAUAAGCACCGGCUAACUUCGUG
This 484-nucleotide ribosomal RNA is filed under the name uncultured bacterium. Its description in RNAcentral is "partial 16S ribosomal RNA". It matches the Rfam family "Bacterial small subunit ribosomal RNA", at positions 30 to 507 of the family's 1533-position model. The record is from RNAcentral.